Molecule: ribosomal RNA, 298 nt
Filed under: uncultured bacterium
Lineage: Bacteria
Description: partial 16S ribosomal RNA
Rfam family: Bacterial small subunit ribosomal RNA
Source: RNAcentral
CCCUACGGGGCGCAGCAGUGGGGAAUAUUGCCCAAUGGGGGAAACCCUGAUGCAGCGACGCCGCGUAAGUGAAGAAGUAUUUCGGUAUGUAAAGCUCUAUCCGCAGGGAAGAAAAAAGACGGUACCUGACUAAGAAGCCCCGGCUAACUACGUGCCAGCAGCCGCGGUAAUACGUAGGGGGCAAGCGUUAUCCGGAUUUACUGGGUGUAAAGGGAGCGUAGACGGCUGUGCAAGUCUGAAGUGAAAUGCCGGGGCCCAACCCCGGAACUGCUUUGGAAACUGUACAGCUAGAGUGCAG